RNAcentral lists this long non-coding RNA (349 nucleotides) under Mus pahari (shrew mouse). RNAcentral describes it as "RIKEN cDNA 9230114J08 gene (MGP_PahariEiJ_G0003494.1)". Lineage: Eukaryota; Metazoa; Chordata; Mammalia; Rodentia; Muridae. The record is from RNAcentral.
CUCUUGGAGAAAGGCAGCUGAUGUGGAGAUGGUCUCCAUGUUGAAGGCUGGUGCACCCUUGCCUCGCUGCUUUUGAAGUGAGACCCUUUAGAGAGUAGAUGGAGCAAGAGGUUUGCAUGAAGCAUCUUCAGGAAGGGGUGAGGGUGGAUGCUUGUCACCAGCUUGUCCUCAGUUCUGUCCCUGGUGAAUGCUGGAAAUGGAAGCAGUGUUUUGUGUCUGUCUCUACCCACCUCCAUGACAAGAAGCCUGGGCUUCAACCUCUGCAGCUGGACCCAGCUGGCAUGGCACAGGGGUGGGGGUAGGGAAACUGGUGUCCCUGGGAAAUACAGGAGACUGAGUCCAAAGGACC